RNAcentral lists this ribosomal RNA (514 nucleotides) under uncultured bacterium. RNAcentral describes it as "partial 16S ribosomal RNA". It matches the Rfam family "Bacterial small subunit ribosomal RNA", at positions 28 to 523 of the family's 1533-position model. The record is from RNAcentral.
GAUGAACGCUGGCGGCGUGCCUAAUACAUGCAAGUCGAGCGAACAGAUGAGAAGCUUGCUUCUCUGAUGUUAGCGGCGGACGGGUGAGUAACACGUGGGUAACCUACCUAUAAGACUGGGAUAACUCCGGGAAACCGGGGCUAAUACCGGAUAAUAUUUUGAACCGCAUGGCUCAAUAGUGAAAGACGGUUUCGGCUGUCACGUAUAGAUUGACCGGCGCCGUAUUAGCUAGUUGGUAAGGUAAUGGCUUACCAAGGCGACGAUACGUAGCCGACCUGAGAGGGUGAUCGGCCACACUGGAACUGAGACACGGUCCAGACUCCUACGGGAGGCAGCAGUAGGGAAUCUUCCGCAAUGGGCGAAGGCCUGACGGAGCAACGCCGCGUGAGCGAUGAAGGUCUUCGGAUCGUAAAACUCUGUUGUUAGGGAAGAACAAAUUUGUUAGUAACUGAACAAGUCUUGACGGUACCUAACCAGAAAGCCACGGCUAACUACGUGCCAGCAGCCGCGGUAA